Molecule: transfer RNA, 84 nt
Filed under: Phycisphaerae bacterium
Lineage: Bacteria; Pseudomonadati; Planctomycetota; Phycisphaerae
Description: tRNA-Leu
Rfam family: tRNA
About the family: Transfer RNA (tRNA) molecules are approximately 80 nucleotides in length. Their secondary structure includes four short double-helical elements and three loops (D, anti-codon, and T loops).
Source: RNAcentral
GCGGGCGUGGCGGAACUGGCAGACGCGCCAGGUUUAGGUCCUGGUGGGGUAAAACCCGUGCAGGUUCGAGUCCUGUCGCCCGCA